RNAcentral lists this ribosomal RNA (472 nucleotides) under Salmonella enterica. RNAcentral describes it as "partial 23S ribosomal RNA". It matches the Rfam family "Bacterial large subunit ribosomal RNA", at positions 2202 to 2673 of the family's 2925-position model. The record is from RNAcentral. Lineage: Bacteria; Pseudomonadati; Pseudomonadota; Gammaproteobacteria; Enterobacterales; Enterobacteriaceae. RNAcentral also lists the same sequence under 2 other names.
ACCCUUUAAUGUUUGAUGUUCUAACGUGGACCCGUAAUCCGGGUUGCGGACAGUGUCUGGUGGGUAGUUUGACUGGGGCGGUCUCCUCCUAAAGAGUAACGGAGGAGCACGAAGGUUGGCUAAUCCUGGUCGGACAUCAGGAGGUUAGUGCAAUGGCAUAAGCCAGCUUGACUGCGAGCGUGACGGCGCGAGCAGGUGCGAAAGCAGGUCAUAGUGAUCCGGUGGUUCUGAAUGGAAGGGCCAUCGCUCAACGGAUAAAAGGUACUCCGGGGAUAACAGGCUGAUACCGCCCAAGAGUUCAUAUCGACGGCGGUGUUUGGCACCUCGAUGUCGGCUCAUCACAUCCUGGGGCUGAAGUAGGUCCCAAGGGUAUGGCUGUUCGCCAUUUAAAGUGGUACGCGAGCUGGGUUUAGAACGUCGUGAGACAGUUCGGUCCCUAUCUGCCGUGGGCGCUGGAGAACUGAGGGGGGCU